GACGAACGCUGGCGGCGUGCCUAACACAUGCAAGUCGAACGAGAAUCAAUGGAUUGAGACUUCGGUUGAUUGAAGUUGAGGAAAGUGGCGAACGGGUGAGUAACGCGUGAGAAACCUGCCUUUCAGUGGGGGACAACAGUUGGAAACGACUGCUAAUACCGCAUAAUGUAUCGAGGGGGCAUCCUCUUGAUACCAAAGCUUAAUGUGCUGAAAGAUGGUCUCGCGUCUGAUUAGCUAGUUGGCGGGGUAACGGCCCACCAAGGCGACGAUCAGUAGCCGGUCUGAGAGGAUGAACGGCCACAUUGGGACUGAGAUACGGCCCAGACUCCUACGGGAGGCAGCAGUGGGGAAUAUUGGUCAAUGGAGGCAACUCUGAACCAGCCAAGUAGCGUGAGGGAUGACUGCCCUACGGGUUGUAAACCUCUUUGUCGGGAAUAAACCGCGCCACGCGU
RNAcentral lists this ribosomal RNA (452 nucleotides) under uncultured bacterium. RNAcentral describes it as "bacterial SSU rRNA". It matches the Rfam family "Bacterial small subunit ribosomal RNA", at positions 28 to 469 of the family's 1533-position model. The record is from RNAcentral.